CCUACGGGUGGCAGCAGUGAGGAAUAUUGGUCAAUGGACGCGAGUCUGAACCAGCCAUGCAGCGUGCAGGAUGACUGCCCUAUGGGUUGUAAACUGCUUUUGUACAAGGGUAAACGCAGAUACGCGUAUCUUUCUGAAAGUAUCGUACGAAUAAGGAUCGGCUAACUCCGUGCCAGCAGCCGCGGUAAUACGGAGGAUUCAAGCGUUAUCCGGAUUUAUUGGGUUUAAAGGGUGCGUAGGCGGUUGGAUAAGUUAGUGGUGAAAUUCCGAGGCUCAACUGUGGAAUUGCAACUGAUACUGGUCGUCUUGAGAAUAGUUGCGGUAGGCGGAAUGUAUGGUGUAGCGGUGAAAUGCUUAGAGAUCAUACAGAACACCGAUUGCGAAGGCAGCUUACCAAGCUACUUCUGACAUUGAGGCACGAAAGUGUGGGGAGCAAACAGGAUUAGAUACCCGAGUAGUC
RNAcentral lists this ribosomal RNA (460 nucleotides) under uncultured bacterium. RNAcentral describes it as "partial 16S ribosomal RNA". It matches the Rfam family "Bacterial small subunit ribosomal RNA", at positions 338 to 795 of the family's 1533-position model. The record is from RNAcentral.